This 468-nucleotide ribosomal RNA is filed under the name uncultured bacterium. RNAcentral describes it as "partial 16S ribosomal RNA". It matches the Rfam family "Bacterial small subunit ribosomal RNA", at positions 28 to 507 of the family's 1533-position model. The record is from RNAcentral.
GAUGAACGCUGGCGGCGUGCUUAACACAUGCAAGUCGAACGGUGAAGGCGGAGCUUGCUCUGCUGGAUCAGUGGCGAACGGGUGAGUAACACUUGAGCAAUCUGCCCCUGACUCUGGGAUAAGCGCUGGAAACGGCGUCUAAUACUGGAUACGAGCUGCGAAGGCAUCUUCAGCAGCUGGAAAGAACUUCGGUCAGGGAUGAGCUCGCGGCCUAUCAGCUUGUUGGUGAGGUAACGGCUCACCAAGGCGUCGACGGGUAGCCGGCCUGAGAGGGUGACCGGCCACACUGGGACUGAGACACGGCCCAGACUCCUACGGGAGGCAGCAGUGGGGAAUAUUGCACAAUGGGCGAAAGCCUGAUGCAGCAACGCCGCGUGAGGGACGACGGCCUUCGGGUUGUAAACCUCUUUUAGCAGGGAAGAAGCGAAAGUGACGGUACCUGCAGAAAAAGCGCCGGCUAACUACGUG